GAGGGUAUAGCUCAGUGGUAGAGCACAUGCUUAGCAUGCACAAGUCCUGGGUUCAAUCCCCAGUAACUCCA
RNAcentral lists this transfer RNA (71 nucleotides) under Camelus bactrianus (Bactrian camel). It matches the Rfam family "tRNA". Rfam says of the family: Transfer RNA (tRNA) molecules are approximately 80 nucleotides in length. Their secondary structure includes four short double-helical elements and three loops (D, anti-codon, and T loops). Further hydrogen bonds mediate the characteristic L-shaped molecular structure. tRNAs have two regions of fundamental functional importance: the anti-codon, which is responsible for specific mRNA codon recognition, and the 3' end, to which the tRNAs corresponding amino acid is attached (by aminoacyl-tRNA synthetases). tRNAs cope with the degeneracy of the genetic code in two manners: having more than one tRNA (with a specific anti-codon) for a particular amino acid; and 'wobble' base-pairing, i.e. permitting non-standard base-pairing at the 3rd anti-codon position. RNAcentral also lists the same sequence under 2 other names. The record is from Rfam by way of RNAcentral. Lineage: Eukaryota; Metazoa; Chordata; Mammalia; Artiodactyla; Camelidae.